RNAcentral lists this non-coding RNA (23 nucleotides) under Cricetulus griseus (Chinese hamster). The record is from RNAcentral. Lineage: Eukaryota; Metazoa; Chordata; Mammalia; Rodentia; Cricetidae.
CCUUAGGGCAGAGAAGGCUGGAG